This 28-nucleotide ribosomal RNA is filed under the name Paraxylaria rosacearum. RNAcentral's name for it is "partial 28S ribosomal RNA". Lineage: Eukaryota; Fungi; Ascomycota; Sordariomycetes; Xylariales; Coniocessiaceae. The record is from RNAcentral.
GGUGACCUCGGAUCAGGUAGGAAUACCC